AGCUCUUGUCGCCAGGCUGGAGUGCAGUGGCGCAAUCUCAGUUCACUGCAACCUCCACCUCCCAGGUUCAAGCGAUUCUCCUGCCUCAGCCUCCUGAGUACCUGGGAUUACAGGCAAGUACCACUACACCCGGCUAAUUUUUUGUGUUUUUAGUAGAGAAGGGUUUCGCCAUGUUGGGCAGGCUGGUUUCGAACUCCUGACCUCAGGUGAUCUGCCCACCUCGACCUCCCAAAGUGCUGGGAUUACAGGCGUGAGCCACCGCGCCCGGCCAGCAUAUAUACUUUUAAAACAAGAGCUUAAAAAUUGGGGGAUGGAAAUAAACAAGAGACUGAGAUAGAAAAGGCCGGAAGAGAUAGGAAAUGCUGUAGGAACACUUAAGGAUUGUGGCUAAAAAAGCUGUGAUAUGAAGUCAGGGUGUCAGUUCAUUUGAGGGAGGAACUUUUUGUGUGUAACUCCCAGCCCUGCCACUUGCUGCCAUGUGCCUACCAUGAUGGGUUGUGUGGGUGAACUUAGGUAGCACAUGGCAUUGGCGACACCCAGCCACACAGAUCUAGGAGCUGCCAUUCACGUCAUCAUCGCUGCAAAUGCAGUGUGCACCCUGUGCAGGACACCUUGCAGCCCAGGAUGACACAAAGUGGAUGCUAGAUAAACAUUAGCUGCAAUCAGUGACACUGUAUGAAACUCCCCAUCAUGGUGGAAACUUGUACUGAGAAAAGAUGGCCACUUCUCAGGGUCAUUGUAGCAAACAGCAAAGGUAGAGGCUUGAAUGUGAUGUCCUUGGAGUGGCCAUCCCAUGAUAAUUUAUAAUUCUUUUAUUUUAUCACUGUUAUUACCCCUUCUACCAUAUUCCGUAUUUCUAACUCAUUGUCCCUUCUUUCUUUCCUGUUAAAACCUUUCUGCCCUUGAGCAAAGCAAAGAGCAAUAGCACUACCUGCUACCACCUACUAGAAAUGUCGUCUUGUAGAACAAAGAAAUACGCACGCCCUGCUGUUCUGCAAUCAGGCUCUGACAGAAGCUUUCAGGUGUGGUGCUUACAAGAUCAGACUCAUUGACUCACUCACUUCUCCCUGCUCCGUCACUACACUCCCAGGACAAGAUAUUUUGCUUAACAAAUAAUGACUACAUCCAACCAGAUAAGGAUACAAACAAGCACAUUCUUCCACUAUCAGUCCUCACCAGAGGACUCUGUGGCCAUAAAAAGAGUAAGGCUUCAGCAGCUCAACACAACCGACGCAGUCCUGCUAUCAGUUGCGAUAAGCACCUGGCAUCUGCCUACAAAGGCUCUGCCCACAUCAAAGACUCUUCCUUGCGAGACUGAGGGACUGCCCAGGCCAAGCCAGGAGAUUCUUUUUGUCUUCGUUGUUCUCCCUGCAAUGGUUCAUUAACUCUUUUUUCUCUCCCUUUUCUCUUGAUGUUAAAUGUUACUUUGUGAGCUGUGGAAUGUUUAACAUGUAUAUAGUGACCACGUAUUCUAUUACAUAUGGUUUUCAGUAUUGACUGACUUGUGGAGUGGCUUGAGCCUGUGUGCCCGCUAUUCUGACUACCGAGUGAAUGGGAAGUUCUGAGGAGAACCUCUUUCUUGGGAACUCCAUUGAGCUCAUGGUUUUUGUGAU
Long non-coding RNA from Pan troglodytes (chimpanzee), 1613 nucleotides. RefSeq lists it as uncharacterized. The transcript is spliced from 3 exons. The record is from RefSeq and is a predicted model, not a curated record. NCBI's taxonomy places the organism in Eukaryota, Metazoa, Chordata, Mammalia, Primates, Hominidae.